CCUUCAUACUGAUCAUACUCUGAACUCAAACUACAGAAUCAUGUUACUCAUCUCUUCAGUUUUAAUAUUUAUCCUCAGUUACUGUGAAGCGAAUGGGAAUGCCAUCAGAGCAAACCAACCAUCUGAAGUUUUAACUGAAGGAAGCAGCAUCACUCUCUCCUGUACUUAUGAAUCUGGAUCAGCUUACAGUCUCCACUGGUACCGGCAGAUGCCUGGAUCAACACUAGAGUUUCUGCUGCUGAUUGUGAAGUCUACUAAGUAUGUCGCCAAAGCUGACCGACCUCACCCGCAUAUGUCCAUUAGACUUCAUGAUAAACUUGUGGAUCUGGAGAUCUCCUCUGCUGCUGUCUCUGACUCUGCAGUGUAUUACUGUGCUCUGGAGCCCACAGUGACAGGAAAAUCAUCUACACUGUACAAUAACAGAUGUUGCUCCUGGUAUUCACUAUAGUUUCUCUUCUAAAAGAGAAUGCUGCUGCAGAUGCG
This is a non-coding RNA of Pimephales promelas (fathead minnow), 483 nucleotides long. The record is from the annotation of a RefSeq genome assembly. Lineage: Eukaryota; Metazoa; Chordata; Actinopteri; Cypriniformes; Leuciscidae.